RNAcentral lists this unclassified non-coding RNA (601 nucleotides) under Aspergillus spinulosus. RNAcentral describes it as "sequence contains 18S rRNA gene, ITS1, 5.8S rRNA gene, ITS2, 28S rRNA gene". The stretch from base 220 to 373 matches the Rfam family "5.8S ribosomal RNA". The record is from RNAcentral. Lineage: Eukaryota; Fungi; Ascomycota; Eurotiomycetes; Eurotiales; Aspergillaceae.
AGUCGUAACAAGGUUUCCGUAGGUGAACCUGCGGAAGGAUCAUUACUGAGUGCGGGCCCUCUGGGUCCAACCUCCCACCCGUGUUUAUCGUACCUUGUUGCUUCGGCGGGCCCGCCGUCAGGCCGCCGGGGGGCAUCCGCCCCCGGGCCCGCGCCCGCCGAAGACACCAUUGAACGCUGUCUGAAGGUUGCAGUCUGAGUUUGAUUAUUAAAUCGUUAAAACUUUCAACAACGGAUCUCUUGGUUCCGGCAUCGAUGAAGAACGCAGCGAAAUGCGAUAAUUAAUGUGAAUUGCAGAAUUCAGUGAAUCAUCGAGUCUUUGAACGCACAUUGCGCCCCCUGGUAUUCCGGGGGGCAUGCCUGUCCGAGCGUCAUUGCUGCCCUCAAGCCCGGCUUGUGUGUUGGGUCGCCGUCCUCCCCGGGGGACGGGCCCGAAAGGCAGCGGCGGCACCGCGUCUGGUCCUCGAGCGUAUGGGGCUUCGUCACCCGCUUUGUAGGCCAGGCCGGCGCCUGCCGUCUUCUGUGACAACCAAUCUUUCCAGGUUGACCUCGGAUCAGGUAGGGAUACCCCGCUGAACCUAAGCAUAUCAAUAAGCGGAGGA